GUGGGGAAUUUUGGACAAUGGGCGCAAGCCUGAUCCAGCAAUGCCGCGUGCAGGAUGAAGGCCUUCGGGUUGUAAACUGCUUUUGUACGGAACGAAACGGUCCUUUCUAAUAUAAGGGGCUAAUGACGGUACCGUAAGAAUAAGCACCGGCUAACUACGUGCCAGCAGCCGCGGUAAUACGUAGGGUGCGAGCGUUAAUCGGAAUUACUGGGCGUAAAGCGUGCGCAGGCGGUUAUGUAAGACAGAUGUGAAAUCCCCGGGCUCAACCUGGGACCUGCAUUUGUGACUGCAUAGCUAGAGUACGGUAGAGGGGGAUGGAAUUCCGCGUGUAGCAGUGAAAUGCGUAGAUAUGCGGAGGAACACCGAUGGCGAAGGCAAUCCCCUGGACCUGUACUGACGCUCAUGCACGAAAGCGUGGGGAGCAAACAGGAUUAGAUACCCCGGUAGUCC
Molecule: ribosomal RNA, 450 nt
Filed under: uncultured bacterium
Lineage: Bacteria
Description: bacterial SSU rRNA
Rfam family: Bacterial small subunit ribosomal RNA
Source: RNAcentral